RNAcentral lists this ribosomal RNA (672 nucleotides) under uncultured bacterium. RNAcentral's name for it is "bacterial SSU rRNA". It matches the Rfam family "Bacterial small subunit ribosomal RNA", at positions 9 to 681 of the family's 1533-position model. The record is from RNAcentral.
GAGUUUGAUCCUGGCUCAGGAUGAACGCUGGCGGCGUGCUUAACACAUGCAAGUCGAACGAAGCAAUAGGAAGGAAGUUUUCGGAUGGAAUUCAUAUUGACUGAGUGGCGGACGGGUGAGUAACGCGUGGGUAACCUGCCUCAUACAGGGGGAUGACAGUUAGAAAUGACUGCUAAUACCGCAUAAGCGCACAGAAUCGCAUGAUUCGGUGUGAAAAACUCCGGUGGUAUGAGAUGGACCCGCGUCUGAUUAGCUAGUUGGUGGGGUAAAGGCCUACCAAGGCGACGAUCAGUAGCCGACCUGAGAGGGUGAUCGGCCACAUUGGGACUGAGACACGGCCCAAACUCCUACGGGAGGCAGCAGUGGGGAAUAUUGCACAAUGGGGGAAACCCUGAUGCAGCAACGCCGCGUGAGUGAAGAAGUAUUUCGAUAUGUAAAGCUCUAUCAGCAGGGAAGAAGAUGACGGUACCUGAGUAAGAAGCCCCGGCUAACUACGUGCCAGCAGCCGCGGUAAUACGUAGGGGGCAAGCGUUAUCCGGAUUUACUGGGUGUAAAGGGAGCGUAGACGGCAUAGCAAGUCUGAAGUGAAAGCCCAAGGCUCAACCAUGGGACUGCUUUGGAAACUGUUAAGCUAGAGUGCUGGAGAGGUAAGCGGAAUUCCUAGUGUAGCGG